AUGCGUUCAGCUCGCGACCUCCGCCUCGCGGUCUCGGCCCUCCUCCUCCUCCUCCUGCUUUCAGCCGGCGUCCUGGCGGCAAGAGCCCAGCAUGAAAUCGACGAUGAGUCAGAGUUCAACUACAUCCGCGGGUCCAAGAACGGGCCGGAGAACUGGGGCAAGAUCAAGGAGGAGUGGGCGACGUGCGGUACCGGGCAGAUGCAGUCGCCUAUCGACCUCUCCGACCACCGUACCUCACGGGCACCCAAUCUCGGCUACCUCAACCACUCCUACCUCCCUGUAGAGGCCUCCAUCGUCAACCGCGGCCACGACAUCAUGGUCAAGUUCAACGGCGACGCCGGGAGCCUGUGGAUCAACGGCACCGCGUACCACCUCAGGCAGGUUCACUGGCACUCCCCCAGCGAGCACCGUGUAAACGGACGCCGGUACAACCUCGAGCUUCACAUGGUUCACCUCAGCGCCGAGAACAAGACUGCCGUGAUCGGCAUCCUCUACAAGAUCGGCAGGCGCGACCAUUUCCUCCACGAGCUCGAGUCUUACCUGCGGAGGAUAGCAGACACCAAGGAGAAGGAGGAGAUGGUAGGCGUGGUGGAUCCCUGGGAGGCGAGGGGAGAUGGCGAAGCCUACUAUCGGUACAUGGGCUCCCUCACAACGCCGGCGUGCGACGAGGGGGUCAUCUGGACCGUCAUCAAGAGGGGCUUUGAGAUGAAUGCGAGACCCCUUCAGAAGGUGAACGGAAGAGAUAUCAGCUUUUUCUGCCCUGAUGAUCACCAUGAGCGCUAUUACGCUGCUGCUGAUCAGUAA
This 804-nucleotide ribosomal RNA is filed under the name Triticum aestivum (bread wheat). Its description in RNAcentral is "partial small subunit ribosomal RNA". The record is from RNAcentral. Lineage: Eukaryota; Viridiplantae; Streptophyta; Magnoliopsida; Poales; Poaceae.